Sphaeramia orbicularis (orbiculate cardinalfish) is the source of this 139-nucleotide long non-coding RNA. RefSeq lists it as uncharacterized. The record is from RefSeq and is a predicted model, not a curated record. The transcript has 3 exons. NCBI's taxonomy places the organism in Eukaryota, Metazoa, Chordata, Actinopteri, Kurtiformes, Apogonidae.
AGGGAGGGGCCAAAACAACAUUAAUACAUAUAAUCUGAGUUUUUCACUGUUGUUUAAUUCACAUUGGACAACUAACUCUAGAUCUAGAAUCACUCUGAACUAAAUGAACACAUUUUUAAAUGUUGUUAUGACCCGGGUC